RNAcentral lists this ribosomal RNA (1000 nucleotides) under uncultured organism. RNAcentral's name for it is "bacterial SSU rRNA". It matches the Rfam family "Bacterial small subunit ribosomal RNA", at positions 356 to 1376 of the family's 1533-position model. The record is from RNAcentral.
GGGGGAUAUUGCGCAAUGGGGGCAACCCUGACGCAGCAACGCCGCGUGAAGGAUGAAGGUUUUCGGAUUGUAAACUUCUUUUAUUAAGGACGAAACUUGACGGUACUUAAUGAAUAAGCUCCGGCUAACUACGUGCCAGCAGCCGCGGUAAUACGUAGGGAGCAAGCGUUGUCCGGAUUUACUGGGUGUAAAGGGUGCGUAGGCGGCUUUGCAAGUCAGAUGUGAAAUCUAUGGGCUCAACCCAUAAACUGCAUUUGAAACUGUAGAGCUUGAGUGAAGUAGAGGCAGGCGGAAUUCCCCGUGUAGCGGUGAAAUGCGUAGAGAUGGGGAGGAACACCAGUGGCGAAGGCGGCCUGCUGGGCUUUAACUGACGCUGAGGCACGAAAGCGUGGGUAGCAAACAGGAUUAGAUACCCUGGUAGUCCACGCUGUAAACGACGAUUACUAGGUGUGGGGGGUCUGACCCCUUCCGUGCCGGAGUUAACACAAUAAGUAAUCCACCUGGGGAGUACGGCCGCAAGGUUGAAACUCAAAGGAAUUGACGGGGGCCCGCACAAGCAGUAGAGUAUGUGGUUUAAUUCGAAGCAACGCGAAGAACCUUACCAGGUCUUGACAUCCAACUAACGAAGUAGAGAUACAUUAGGUGCCCUUCGGGGAAAGUUGAGACAGGUGGUGCAUGGUUGUCGUCAGCUCGUGUCGUGAGAUGUUGGGUUAAGUCCCGCAACGAGCGCAACCCUUGCUAUUAGUUGCUACGCAAGAGCACUCUAAUAGGACUGCCGUUGACAAAACGGAGGAAGGUGGGGACGACGUCAAAUCAUCAUGCCCCUUAUGACCUGGGCUACACACGUACUACAAUGGAUGUUAACAGAGGGAAGCAAGACAGCGAUGUGGAGCAAACCCCUAAAAACAUUCUCAGUUCAGAUUGCAGGCUGCAACCCGCCUGCAUGAAGAUGGAAUUGCUAGUAAUCGCGGAUCAGCAUGCCGCGGUGAAUACGUUCCCG